This 82-nucleotide transfer RNA is filed under the name Serratia phage MQ-4. RNAcentral's name for it is "tRNA-Arg". It matches the Rfam family "tRNA". From Rfam's summary of the family: Transfer RNA (tRNA) molecules are approximately 80 nucleotides in length. Their secondary structure includes four short double-helical elements and three loops (D, anti-codon, and T loops). The record is from RNAcentral. Lineage: Duplodnaviria; Heunggongvirae; Uroviricota; Caudoviricetes.
GGCCCCGUAGCUCAACCGGAUAGAGCACCAGCCUUCUAAGCUGGGGGUUGCAGGUUCGAUUCCUGCCGGGGUCGCCACCCAC